GAUGAACGCUAGCGGCAGGCUUAAUACAUGCAAGUCGAGGGGCAGCAUGACCGUAGCAAUACGGUUGAUGGCGACCGGCAAACGGGUGCGGAACACGUACACAACCUUCCUUCGAGCGGGGAAUAGCCCGGGGAAACCCGGAUUAAUACCCCAUAGUAUAUUGAAGAGGCAUCUCUUUACUAUUAAAGAUUUAUCACUUGAGGAUGGGUGUGCGGCUGAUUAGCUAGNGGCGGGGGUAACCGGCCCACCAAGGCAACGAUCAGUAACUGGUGUGAGAGCACGACCAGUCACACGGGCACUGAGACACGGGCCCGACUCCUACGGGGAGGCAGCAGUAAGGAAUAUUGGGUCAAU
This 354-nucleotide ribosomal RNA is filed under the name uncultured bacterium. RNAcentral describes it as "bacterial SSU rRNA". It matches the Rfam family "Bacterial small subunit ribosomal RNA", at positions 28 to 372 of the family's 1533-position model. The record is from RNAcentral.